This 1164-nucleotide long non-coding RNA is filed under the name Sinocyclocheilus grahami. Its description in RNAcentral is "lncRNA (ENSSGRG00000024569.1)". The record is from RNAcentral. Lineage: Eukaryota; Metazoa; Chordata; Actinopteri; Cypriniformes; Cyprinidae.
AUGUUCGGACGGCAACCAAGAUUGCCAGUUGAUUUGAUUUUCAACACCACAGUGAGUCAAGACAAUCCUAAAUUCCACUCACAGUAUGUACAAUCCCUGAAAACUCAUCUUCAAGAGAGUUACAAGUUAGCUCAGAAGAAUGCAGCCAAAUCUGCAGAGCGAAACAAAGUUCGUUUCGACCGGAAAGUAACCGAGUCAUCUCUCGAAGAAGGUGACCGUGUCCUGGUCAGAAAUGUGAGGAUACGCGGCAAACACAAAUUAGCUGACAGAUGGGAUCCCAUGGUACACAUUGUAGUGAGUCGUGCUGGUGAAUUACCUGUCUAUACAGUGAAACCUGAAAGACAAGAAGGUCCCUUACGAACUCUACACAGGGAUUUGUUGUUACCUUGUGGAUUCUUAUCUCCGCUGAUGGAAGAUAAAACUGAUGCAACAAAGCCUCAGAAAAAACGAGUGACCAGGCGAAACAGAGAUGAGGAAACUGAUGAAUGUCAAGAGAACUAUCAAAGUUCCGACGAAGAUGACUACAUACCCCAAUUUUCUGGAGGUCCAGCCAUUACUACACAAAGGUUCAUCAAGGAGUACAAUGUGGUCAGGAACCCUAAAUAUGUCUCUUCUACCUCUGAUUCUGAAGUUCAAACGUCUGUCCCAAGUCAUGGUUCAGAGACUGUGAAUGCAAGAAUUGUACCCAGGGGAAAUGAUUCAUCCGACAUAGAACACUUACCUGAUAUUCAGCACCUACCUGAAACCCAGUCUUCAUCAUGUGGAACAGGACCUGAACAGGAAAACCUGAAAGAAAGAAACCACUUACCUCAAGUAGAGCAGCAAACACUAGAUGUACCUGAUGGAACGGAGAAGGACAAUGACACACAAGCUGUCCAUGUUGAGGAAAGUGUACCUAAUGUUCCAUUGAGGAGAAGCAGAGUAGAAUCAGCUGAAUCUGCUGAACUUACUGAACCUGUGGAAGAAACGGAUCAAAGUGCAAGUGAGGAUGAAAUUCAGUUAAGAAAGUCCAAAAGAGUGAAGCAGAAGUCAAAAAGACUGACUUACCCAGAAAUGGGGAACCCAAUGAUAUCCAUUAUCCAAUCCCUGCUCCAAGGACUGAACACCGCUUUUGUCGAGUCACUUGCAGAACAACCCAGAUCAAUUAGACACUCCAAACCCUAA